Rosa chinensis is the source of this 748-nucleotide long non-coding RNA. RefSeq lists it as uncharacterized. The transcript has 2 exons. NCBI's taxonomy places the organism in Eukaryota, Viridiplantae, Streptophyta, Magnoliopsida, Rosales, Rosaceae. The record is from RefSeq and is a predicted model, not a curated record.
CUUGCUUUCAAGAUUCAAGAUCAACGUCUCAAGCUCUUCAUUAUCCACUCCAUUCACGGUGUGUACCCUCAAUCCCCGGAUAGAACGAUCCCUAUUUACCAUAUACUAACGAUGACUUACAGGGUUAAAUUUCGCGCUUUCUUUCUAGCAUAUCAGAUAUUUGAGAUGGGAAAAGAAAACCAGAACAAGAGUUACCAGACGAUGUCGUCUAUGGAGAUCGAGAAUCCCAAGCCAAAAACCUCUAAUCAGUUUGGUCGUUCUCCGAUCCAUUCCUUAGGGGAGAGACCGAAACGGAAAAACGAAACCGAAAAGUCCCAGAAGACGAAGACAAAGAGGCUGUGAAGCAUCCAAAACUCUGUCAUUGAAGCGGAUGGCUUGAGUUCUCUAAUCUCGAUUACGACGGUGACGAAUCCCAAAGAGGAAGAGAAAGGGAGUCGCUUGAGGGAGACAGAGUAGGAGGAGAUGAUGCAUCCUGCAAUGCCAAGAUCGAGAUUCUCGCCUUCUUUAUUUCAUUAUUACUGAAUUGACAAAUUUAUCCCCUCAGGUGGGCCUGAUUGUAGGAGUCUGAAUGUCCACGUGAACAGUUAAUGACCAAUUUGGACUAAGUAAUAAAAAUUGGACACGGCUAAUCAAAAUUAAGAGUAUAGAGGUGUUGUUGAUUAAAUUGAAACUGCAGGGACUUACAUAAUGUUAGGCCCAAACCUUAGGAAGGUAAAUAGAAAUUAAUCCAAACAUUAUUUGAUUCUCA